RNAcentral lists this long non-coding RNA (638 nucleotides) under Ananas comosus (pineapple). RNAcentral's name for it is "long non-coding RNA (ACOM_LNC044064)". The record is from RNAcentral. Lineage: Eukaryota; Viridiplantae; Streptophyta; Magnoliopsida; Poales; Bromeliaceae.
ACUUUCUAAUCAACUAAACUUUAAUUAAAUGAUUCUAAUGCCUAUAACUAAGUAUGAAUCACCAUAACAUGAAUUAAAACUUUACCUGAGCAUCGUGUGUAACAUACCAGAUUUUGGUAUAAAAAUAAAAAUAAAUAAAAAUAGUGUGAGAAACUAUUUUUAUUGGGUUUAUAGAAGUAAAACAUAAGUCAGAAGUGACUUGUGCUGAAAUCGGAAUGAAAACAGAAGAUCUAGAAUUUUCUGUUGGAAACGAGACAGAGAAAUUAGCAGAAAAUGCACAGUCUCAGAAAAUUAUGAAAAUUGGAGGAUAAGUCAGAAAUAUUUUUAAGAGGCUAGAUUUAAAGUUUCAUAUUUUUCUGACACCCGUAGAGUGAGAAAUAAAAUCUAACAGUUAUCUGAUAAAGAUUACAGUUCGGUACAGUUUUCGGUGACCAAAUGAGGUCGAAACUGAAAACUUAAAAUAUAUUCUUGCUCAGUACGUAAAACCGAACAUGACUGUCAAGUUUGAGCUCAAACGGACGUUUAGGAAACUCCGGCGAAAGUUAUCAGAUUUUAAGUUGCCUGGAGUGAAUAGUGUUGGGUGUUAAUGUAUAAAGAAGCUUUGCUUCUUCUUCUUCCUCCCAGCCGCACACACACAC